UACCAUGCUGUACUAAAUUAAAAGUUUUGAGUGCAAGCCGUUUCCAAAAAAGUUUUAGGUUGAGUUAGCGAAUUCGGAUUUACAGUGCAUAAAACAAACAUA
Molecule: long non-coding RNA, 102 nt
Organism: Sander lucioperca (pikeperch)
Lineage: Eukaryota; Metazoa; Chordata; Actinopteri; Perciformes; Percidae
Exons: 3
Source: RefSeq, a predicted model, not a curated record